RNAcentral lists this ribosomal RNA (225 nucleotides) under uncultured Glomeromycotina. RNAcentral describes it as "partial small subunit ribosomal RNA". The stretch from base 41 to 225 matches the Rfam family "Eukaryotic small subunit ribosomal RNA", at positions 686 to 874 of the family's 1831-position model. The record is from RNAcentral. Lineage: Eukaryota; Fungi; Glomeromycota.
GGAUUCUUCCGUUGGUCAGGCUAACAAGUCUGUACUAGCGUGUAGAAUCUCUACCUUCUGGGGAACCAUCAUGUUAUUAAUUUAGCGUGGUGGGAAACCAGGACCUUUACCUUGAAAAAAUUAGAGUGUUCAAAGCAGGCUUACGUCUGAAUACAUUAGCAUGGAAUAAUAAAAUAGGACGGUGGUCCUGUUUUGUUGGUUUCUGAAUCACCGUAAUGAUUAAUA